UUGGUUAACUGGGUAGACUAAGCGCAUCUGAUUGGUUAACUGGGUAGACUAAGCGCAUCUGAUUGGUUAACUGGGUAGACUAAGUGCAUCUGAUUGAUUAACUGGGUAGAUCAAGUGGAUCUGAUUGGUUAACUGGGUAGACUAAGCGCAUCUGAUUGGUUAACUGGGUAGACUAAGUGGAUCUGAUUGGUUAACUGGGUAGACUA
This is a non-coding RNA of Paramuricea clavata, 206 nucleotides long. NCBI's taxonomy places the organism in Eukaryota, Metazoa, Cnidaria, Anthozoa, Malacalcyonacea, Plexauridae. The record is from the annotation of a GenBank genome assembly.